Molecule: non-coding RNA, 31 nt
Filed under: Homo sapiens (human)
Lineage: Eukaryota; Metazoa; Chordata; Mammalia; Primates; Hominidae
Source: RNAcentral
UGGCUAACUUCAGCCCUGAGGGCCUGAGAAA